AUCCGGUUAAAAUUCCGGAACCG
Molecule: small nuclear RNA, 23 nt
Filed under: Arabidopsis thaliana (thale cress)
Lineage: Eukaryota; Viridiplantae; Streptophyta; Magnoliopsida; Brassicales; Brassicaceae
Description: snRNA_03897
Source: RNAcentral